Oxyura jamaicensis (ruddy duck) is the source of this 666-nucleotide long non-coding RNA. RefSeq lists it as uncharacterized. The record is from RefSeq and is a predicted model, not a curated record. The transcript has 3 exons. NCBI's taxonomy places the organism in Eukaryota, Metazoa, Chordata, Aves, Anseriformes, Anatidae.
AAGGAUUUGGCUUUGCUUACUUUGUCUGAGAACUUUAUUUCUAAAAAUAAGCCUAUUUCUUCCUUAGCUAGCUCUUUACAAAGAUGCCUUUUCACCCUUGAUUCAAGGCACUUUGGAGGGACUAUGGAGUUAAACAAGGAUAUUUGUUGUGACUUUGGUUUUUUUUUCUAGGUUUGGAGUUCUGCUUUCACCAAAGCCAAGCUUGCAGCAUGAUUUUGAAAAAAGAGACUGGGAAAUGCUGCUAUUGGAGGCAACUUAUUGUGUUGGUGUAAAUCUUUAUAGCCAAGGAGCUAGAGAAAAAUUUAUAGAACAGCAUUUGUGUAUGAAUUUAAUUUAAAAAGCAAACGUUGCUGUAAUGCAAGCCUCAGCUACACACUACGCGUUUGGAAAUCAGUUUAUCAUGUUUUGGCAGCUUCCAAAUCUUAACUGCAGGUGGCAAUAUUGUAAACUACUAGGCUACAAGUGUAUUUCAUUUACUGUCUUUGAAUUCUGCUACUAUUCAUUUUAAACUACUUGAGCAGUUGCAUUUUGUUUAACAAAACUGGAACCUCCCCCUUCUAUUCAAUUCAAGGGUUCCUGGGGCAAUACAGGGAACCUGCUUGACUUUGUGUGUACUGGGGGGAGGUUUUGUUUUAUUUGUAUAUGACUUGUCUGCUAGCCUGGCUG